Patella vulgata (common limpet) is the source of this 500-nucleotide long non-coding RNA. RefSeq lists it as uncharacterized. Lineage: Eukaryota; Metazoa; Mollusca; Gastropoda; Patellidae. The transcript is spliced from 3 exons. The record is from RefSeq and is a predicted model, not a curated record.
UUGGUAUUAUGUGCGUUGCUGUUGGCGACUAUCGUCUUGGUGAUUGUUAUAUUAGUGUACAGAAGGCGGAAACUGUGUGUCGAAGAUUCUUCACCAGAGCCCAAAAUAAGUUUUGGUGCAUUGGAGAAGCCUUUAACAGGUCGUGCGGUAGAAAUACAACCAGAGUUAGGCAAUCUGGAACCUCGCCUUGAUCAAAGAGCCUAUCUCAUGCAAUAUGGUCAGCUCCCACCAAGGCGCUAUGUUUCAAUGGAGUCACAGAGACGCCUUAUACCGGUACCGGAAGAAGAUGGUGACGCAGAACUGACGUCACCAGACGGCGGUCAGUACAUCCUCGACCAGUCAGAACUUGAGUUGGGGGCAGGAGUGCAGGAUUGGGUACAUGCUUACGGGUCAGUUGUUACGCAUGAAAACCACAAGUAGCGAUUGGAUUUAAUGCAGCAAAAAUAUUUGUAGCUGUAAAAAUUUAACGAAUUUUAGAAACUUGUCGGUGCUCUUAUACA